UGUAGGUCCUGGGCCUUCCCCAGAUACUCUGCCUAAGAAGCUCUACAGGUGGAGCCCAGGCAUCUGCAUUUUUAA
This 75-nucleotide microRNA precursor is filed under the name Tursiops truncatus (common bottlenose dolphin). RNAcentral's name for it is "miRNA (ENSTTRG00000025070.1)". Lineage: Eukaryota; Metazoa; Chordata; Mammalia; Artiodactyla; Delphinidae. The record is from RNAcentral.